RNAcentral lists this ribosomal RNA (250 nucleotides) under uncultured prokaryote. Its description in RNAcentral is "partial 16S rRNA". It matches the Rfam family "Bacterial small subunit ribosomal RNA", at positions 525 to 775 of the family's 1533-position model. The record is from RNAcentral.
ACGUAGGUGGCGAGCGUUACUCGGAAUUACUAGGCGUAAAGCGUAUGUAGGCGGUUGUAUAAGUCUAUGGUGAAAUUUCCGGGCUCAACUGGGAAGGGACAUAGAGAAUGUAUUGUUUGAGGCUUGGAGGGGGAGACGGAAUUCCUGGUGUAGUGGUGACAGGCGGAGAUAGCAGGAGGAACACCGAUGACGAAGGCGGUCCGGUGGCCGAAUACUGGCGCUGCGGUCCGUCAGCUAGGGUAGCGAACGG